Non-coding RNA from Pelobates cultripes (western spadefoot toad), 520 nucleotides. The record is from the annotation of a GenBank genome assembly. NCBI's taxonomy places the organism in Eukaryota, Metazoa, Chordata, Amphibia, Anura, Pelobatidae.
AGGGAUGCUACCUAGACGUAUAGGCAAGAUGAAGCAAUGUUUUUAUAUGUUCUUUAGCACCUUACAGCAUAUCUAUAUAUAGCACACCAUGUCCAGGCUCCACACACAGACCUACCUCUGCCACACUGUAACACAAGCUACCACUCCUCAAACACACUAAUUUACCUAAUCUAGAGCCGUUGAGCAUCACCUAUCCAAUCUCACUCUACCUUCACGCAAACACUGCUCAGCUAAGCUUUAAGUAUACAUAUAUACGAACUGCACCCACAUGUUAUAUAGCUCAAACCCAAGCAUGUUGUAUUGUUAUUAUUAUGCUCGCACUGACCUAUCAGUCUAGAUAGCAAAGCCCCACGUAACAAUGUAUGAAAAGCUUAGCCUAGACCUUGAUCACUAGCCUACUGAAUACUUCUCUAUCAUAAAAAAGAAAAUGUGCAAUGUAUAUUAAGCCACACUGUUGUUUUCCUUUGUUUACUGCUUUGUUUGCACUUGCUAUCGUGGCACUGCAAAUCUGCUUGUUAAC